This is a long non-coding RNA of Echinops telfairi (small Madagascar hedgehog), 729 nucleotides long. RefSeq lists it as uncharacterized. Lineage: Eukaryota; Metazoa; Chordata; Mammalia; Afrosoricida; Tenrecidae. The record is from RefSeq and is a predicted model, not a curated record. The transcript has 6 exons.
GUCAGGCUUUGCGGCAGUCACCGCCCAAGCUUCAGGUUGGGGAUCUCGAGCCCCUUCCUCAAGGUUGUUCCCCUGCUGUUUCCAACAUGGCAGGCAGGUUUAAUAGCCAUGGAUAAAAAGACCACACAGAGAAGUCCAGAAGAUGCCGGCGCCGGCAGAUACGGAGGUAAACAAGCAAAAAAGAAAAAACAAAAGCCAAAACAAAACCACCAACGAUCCCGCCACAAAUCAACAGCGUCUCACUCUUCGGAUGACGGUAUAUUUCCUUCCUCUUCUUGCACUUCGUCAGAAAGCCAGACAGAUUCAAGUUGUGAAGGUGCUGUCUGAAAUAUCCAUCAUCCUAUCUGGUCUUCUGGAAUUGAGUUACACCACCCGCCACUGACUGCCUAGACCUUCAGGGAUAAAAGAUGAUGAAACACUGAGAAAUGGAAAGAAAAGAAGGAAAGGACCACAUGCUGUCACCUUGUCAAGUCUCACGAGCUUCGUGUGUAAAGGUUUGCUCUCUGCCAUUUGUAUGUUCACAGAUGGGCUGAUGCGAUGCUGAACUUCCCAAUUUCUUAAAUUUAGCAGUUGUGGGGAAGAAGGCUGAACAGGGAAGCCGACCCAAGCCCCGUGACACCUGAAGAGACCCUGAAGAGCCCGGGAUCAGACACCUUUCACUGCCAGUCCACGCGCACAAACCUUGGUCUCCACGCCCUCUGUAACCACAAAAUAAAGAGUUGGGAAAUA